AAUAUAUAAAAAUAAUAUAAAAUAAUUAUAAUUCAAUUUAUAUAUUAAUAGUUCC
This 55-nucleotide transfer RNA is filed under the name Saccharomyces cerevisiae (brewer's yeast). Its description in RNAcentral is "partial transfer RNA". Lineage: Eukaryota; Fungi; Ascomycota; Saccharomycetes; Saccharomycetales; Saccharomycetaceae. The record is from RNAcentral.